GGAGAGAUGGCCGAGUUGGUCGAAGGCGGUCGCCUGCUAAGCGAUUGUACAGGCUAAAAACCUGUACCGCGGGUUCGAAUCCCGCUCUCUCCGCCA
Molecule: transfer RNA, 96 nt
Filed under: Carboxydothermus hydrogenoformans Z-2901
Lineage: Bacteria; Bacillati; Bacillota; Clostridia; Thermoanaerobacterales; Thermoanaerobacteraceae
Also listed under: 1 other name
Description: tRNA-Ser (GCT) (tRNA-Ser-GCT-1-1)
Rfam family: tRNA
About the family: Transfer RNA (tRNA) molecules are approximately 80 nucleotides in length. Their secondary structure includes four short double-helical elements and three loops (D, anti-codon, and T loops).
Source: RNAcentral